GAGACUCUCCGGAGGUGCAUCAAUACCGAUAUCCGUAAGAGUUAUGUUCUUGCAGUUAAGGAUGUUCAUGUGGAAAAGCUUGCUGUUUGUUGAUGUAAUACUGUUAAUCUUUGAGUUUGUUAGACCAGUGAAUCGGAUGUUCUGUUACAAAAAAUAUCAUAAUAUUCAUCAAGUCAUAUAUUCCAUGAAAAUAAUAACGUUUUUAUUGUAAUUAUGUAAAAUUGAAUGUGCUUACGAUAGGGAGAGAGUUGCAUUUGCCGGUUUUGGCGCAGUCAUUGGCCUUCCAAGCGAGGGACCCUUGACCGUCAAAAAUAGCUUUGUUUCCAUUCAAAGUGAAAUCAGCGAGAUUUUCGAAAUCAAUCCAUCCGGCAUGAGGCUUAGUGGUCUUGACCGUAGCCGGAGCCUUAAAAUUGCCAUUCAAUUCCAAAGUGACUGGACCUUUGCAUGGACCUUUGAACUCUAGGCUCUCUACCAAAUACUCACCUUUUGGCACUGUAAUCGUGCUCCCUGCUGCACAAGCUUCUUUCCAUGCAGCCGCAAAUGCCUAUACAUGCAUGCAUGAAUCAACGUGAAAUUCUUUCUUAAACAAUACAAAAUCGAAAUAUAAUAUAAAAUAUACAACAAACAUUUGGUACAUACCGCACUAUCAUCAGUUUUGCCGUCUCCUUUGGCUCCUGAUGCUUUAACAUCAAGUGAUGCACCGCCUGGUUUGGCACCUGUUACUUUAGCACCAACUGAUGCAGCUGCACCGCCAACUGCUGUAGCUGCAUUUUUUGCUGUAUCUUCAACUGCUGUAGCUGCAUUUUUUGCUGUAUCGACAACAGGUGUCCCGUUUGCUAUUGUGGUGGCCAUAACCACUAGUAGCACAAGAAGCACUCCGCUUGCUUUGUGAGAACCCACCAUUUUUUAUUCUCUUUUUAUUGAUUUUGUUUUAAUACUUUUUUUUUCUUCUUUUGUUUAUUCUCUUCUUCUUUUGUUUUUGUGUUUAUUGAUGUUUUGUUCUGAUGAUUCGAAAGUCCGUUUUAUAGAGGAGCAAAGGGAGAUAGAAAACCACAAACUCUUGCAUUAGCUAAAAAUAAUUCCGAGGAUUGUGCUCAAGGCAGAAGAAUGACCAAUUCAUGGAGGCCGAUCCCUUUUUUUUGGCAUCACUCAAGAUAUAUUUAUAGAUUUUUGACCAAAAUCAUAUAUUAAAGAUAAGGUAUGGUGAAUAAUUCAACUACAAAUUAAUACAUUGAUGAGAGAAAUCUGCCUCUUUAUUCUACUAGUUUGAAGUUUAAGUCUCAAUAGUUUUGGGUAAAUAGAAGGCGAAAAAGAACCGGCCUCAUCAAGACAAGGUUUGAUACUUCAAAACAUUUUCACACUGUGUCAGUGUCUCAAUAAAAUUUUAGAACUCUUAAUGAAAUAACGUUUAUUUUUUUUGACAAAUUUAUAUAGUCUAAUACUAACUUUUUGCUUUCUUUUUAUUAAGCUUACAUUGAACCAACGGAGCCAUUGUUAUGUACAACAAAUUAAUCAUAUGGGGACUAUAUAUAUACAUACAUACAUGAUACAUGGACUAGUUAACAAUUUGAGGACCCAUCAGCUUCCCCAUCCGACCAUGGUUCCGGGGCGGGAAAACGCGAGUCCUCGAUCAUACAUGCGUUGAAUCUCUUCUCUGUAUUCAGUCAGAGACUCAUCAGGAAUUGUUGGAGUCAGCUCCACCACAUCACCCAUCUUCAGCUUCCACUUGAGGUCACUUACAGGUAUUUGGUUCAGUCUUGGCCUUAGUUCUUCCUUUGCUGGUAUGCCAUACAUGGACCACCUCGAGCUCCCUGGCCCCGCCCGGCUCAGCAGAUCCGAGACUGUUGAACUCGCUGGAAAUUCUUGCACAGACAUCUGCAUAUUCCGAUUUGUUCAGUAUAACAAUCAAGUGUACAACUCUUUUGUACUCGACAAGAUAGGUUUAUAACAAACCUUAUCAUUUUCGAUUACAAUGACAUAGACUGGUCCAUCCUGGCUACUGUUAGGCUUGUAAGAAGCUGGGCAGUCCUCAGAGUGAGACGGAAACUUGCAAGGGGGUUUGAUGGAAUCUGAAGAACUUAUGGAAGAUCGGUCUUUGCUCAUUGCUUCGCAAUGCCAGGUUACGACCCACCGAGCCCAUUCAACCAUCUGAAGCACAAACGAAGAGUAUUUGCAGCCACCUUCCUUGUAUCUCCAAUGAGCUGCAAACCCAAAUUCUGCUUGCAAAUGCAUCUCCUGUGUACGUAUUUGGACUUCAAGUGGAACUGUUCCAUUGUCCAUCACUACCGUGUGCAAAGAUUGAUACCUAAAAUCCAAAUUACCAAAGUCAGAUUCAUUACCUUUUAACAAGCCACAACCAACCACAACUUAAACUAUGAGAUAUGGAGAUAUGAACUUACCCGUUGAAUUUGGGAUGAGUUAUGUAAUCCUUCAGCUUUCCAGGAACUUCAGACCAUAAACUAUGAACUACUCCUAAGGCCUUGUAACAAUCUCCUUCGUUGUCAACAAUCAAACGUAACCCAUGAAUGUCAUGAAUUUCAUCCACUGUUAGCUUUUUCCUGGUACAAUCGAAUAGACAACAACAUUAGUCUUCUAGUUUCACUCACAUCUUUUGUUCUGUAAAAGGGAGGAAAUAUAACUUACUUUAACAUCUUGCUGUAAAUACUAUACAAGCUCUUGUGCCGGCCACAAAGAACAUGAUAAGAAAUGCCUGCUUUCUUAAGAGCUUGCUCCAAUUUCUCUAUUGCAGAAGUAAUCAUGGCUUCAUCGAAUGAAUCCUCGAGCAUGGUUGACAUCUCAUUAUGCUGGUUUGGGUAAAGAUGUUUGAAACAAAGAUUUUCAAGCUGAACUUUCCAGGUAGAGAUUCCCAAACGAUUAGCCAAAGGUGCAAAUAUUUCCAACGUCUCUUUAGCAAACCUCUGCUGCUUCACUGGGGACAAAGCGUAAAGCGUCUUCAUGUUGUGUAAUCGAUCAGCCAGUUUUAUAAGAACAGCUCUUGCAUCUGCCAUUGCAAGAAACAUUGUGUGCAAACGAUCUGCUUCAACAGUUUUACACGCCGUAUUGUUCUCUCUAGCGAGUUUGCUCAAUUGGCUAAGCUUCGAAACCUAUACAAAACAAACAUACACAUGGAAGACAAAGGUCAAUGAAUGCUGAAAAACUCUGCCUUUACAAGUGACCAAGCAACCAAACAAAUAGCUCCGACAUAAGUUAAUCAAUGAGAGUACAUAUUUCUUACCCCUUCAACCAAAUCAGCAACUCCUGCUCCGAAGUUUCUGAGAAUAUAAUCAUAGCUCAUGAAAGAAUCGUCAAUGGUAUCAUGAAGAAGGCCAGCAACAACAACAGUUGAGUUAGCUCCGAUAUUAGCCAACAACAUAGCAGUCUCAACACAAUGCUGAAGGUAAGGAUCACGACUAGCUCUCAUCUGAUAAAACACACAUGAAACGAAAAGUUGAGUCACACUAAAACCAAACAAGAAUCUAAAACUAGUGAUUGAGAAUUGUAUCUUUUCCUACUUACUUGUCCUCUAUGAGCUUUCUCUGCUUCAUAAAAAGCUUUGAUCACAGAUUCAUCAUUGAAAAUCUUGUGUCUCAAUUGUGCACGUCUUAGCAAAUCCCUAGCAUAUGGCUUUAUCGUAUCAACCUCCAUAGGAAACGUUAGCUCAUCAACGAGAACAGAAUCCGAUCCGAACUCGUAAUCAACACAUGAUCCAAGAGCUUUCCUAACGAAACCAUUGAACAAUCCACUAGCUCCUAAACGAAACGAACCAUCUAGAUUCCGAUCACGAGACAUUCUCAUCGGAGGGCUACAACUACACGAGACCGGACCAUGAAGCACAGAGAUAGGGCUUUGGUGAUCUCGUCUAAAUGAAUUCACAAAUUUCGCCGGAGAAUAACCAAAGGAGCUGCUAAAGCUCAGAUCUUUCAAAUCAUCACUCCGAUCAUAGCGUAGUGAAGAGAACUCAUCUACUCCGGUUGAGUAUGAGCAAGAGGAAGAAGAUGAAGAUUUGACUGAUGCGCUGGAGAAAAGUGAAGAGAGACCUCCAACGAUUGGUUUCUGCGGCGAGGAAGCCAUGGAAGAGGAUGUUGACGAACUCCUGGAGGUGAGAUCGAGAUCACAUGAGAUCUGAUGUGGCGUGGAACAAACGCUGCUUGGUGGACUCGCGUAAAGUGCUAUAGUCGUCGCCACCACCAUUGGAGCUCGUUGGUUCUGCUUUAUAAUCCUAAAGUUCAGUUUUUUCUCUCUCAGAAAUCAAAGAAUUAAAAUUAUCCAAUUCCCAGAAUUAGCUCCCAAAAAUCGUCAAAUUUCCCGGGAAUUUAAAGUCACCGUUUUUCUAUUGAAACAAACAGAUUAACACAAAACCCACAAAUUCUAACACGAAACCCAGAUGGAUUUUGAGUUGUACAAGGAACUUUAAUACAGAGGAAGAACAGAACAAAGCCUAAAGUAUGUACAAUUUAUACGAGUUUGGAAAGAAAUUGAAGAAGGGGAAAAAUCGUAGAAACGAGUCUAAUGGAGACAAGAGGGUGUGUGAGGAGGAAGAAGGAGAAGAAGAAAGUUAGACGCUUUGCUUUAAGGACGAAAAUUAAUCUUUGAUUUUUCUCUUCGAAAUUAGAAACUACUACUCUCUCUCUUUUUCCUCUGUUCUUAUUCGUCUGUUUAAGUUCGGCCGACCAAAACUAAACCGAUCAAUACUACUAUUACCGAAAUACCCUUUUACGUAAUCGGUAAUUAAUUACUGAGUUAAGUGGGUUUAUUACAGUCUAAUCUUGUUAUGUCGUUAUCCAUUGCUGUUCGUAAAUAAUUAUUAAAAUCUUUGUAUUGGGUAUAGAAUAUAUAAUCUAAUUUUUCUAAUGCUUUAUCCACGAGCCAAGAUUUAUGAAAUCUUCCGUGAUAUUAUAUCUAAAUUUGUGGUUAAAUCAACUUGUCCUCCAAACUCAAAACACAUAUAGAUUAAUGCUAAAAGAAUAAUCAAAGCUAAUUCGUUGUGUGAUUAAAGAGACUUGUGUCAUUAAAAAAAUGAUGACACACUAAAAUGAUUAAGAAUAUAUCCUAUCAGAUGACAUCGAUAUCUCAACUCCAAUUUGGCUAUAAAAUAUUUAAAAGCAUAGUUUAUGGAGUACUAGUCACUAAAUGGCUUUUGUGUGCUGAUUAAAGACAUUUUAAGUUAAUUGUACUUUAACCUAACUUGUGUGAUAAACUACAAGUCUCAUACUUAGAUCUAAUAUUUCUUCUUCGAAUAUUUUUGUAUGUAAAUUUUGAAAACUUAGUAAAACUCAAAUCCUAAUAAGACUCUGAUAAAUCUAAAUAUUUAGCAUGUAGGUUUUCUAUAUGAAUUGAAUGUUUAGGUUUUAUAAUAGAAUUUCACACUAAUGAGUACUCCAAUAAGCAUAUCAUUCUUUAACCAAACGAAUACAUAUAAAACUCAACGACAACUUUCUAUAAUUUUAUUCCUGUUUCAAAUAAGAUAUUCGUAAUCACUAUUAUUCACAUAUGCUUUCUCUAGCUUCACGCCAAUGCAUGAUGACACCGCCAUUUUUAUUUUUGUAAGUUAUUGAAUUAAUCAGAUUUAUUUUAGUAUCUUCAUUAUCCACUUGGGAUUUUUUUUUUUUUUUAAAAUGAAGAUAGGCUUAUAGCACAGUGUCAACGGCAGCUGAGUCAUGCCAUCUGUAUCAGCGUCAACUUGAAUCACUUGAUCCACUUUUAACUAGUCUCAAUAUGGAUUAUGGCGACUGUUUACCAAAAAAACAAUCUCUUUAUUACUAUUUAACAUAGUUGUUUUACUUUUUGGCAAAUGGAAUUUGUUACUUUAAACAUGAACAAAAUAUCAGCAAAUUGUACAAAAAGGGUCCACCAUGAGAUUUAUGUUUGUCUACUACUUUUCGUUUUUACUUUCUAUCGUUUUAUUUCGUUUAUUUCGCGAGGUCUCGUCAUUGGUUAUUUUUUGCAUCAAUAAGAGGAAUCUGAAUCGAACCCACAUUGCUGGCUUGGUUAAUAACUCUUCGAAGCCGUCUACUCAAAUAGUAUUAGCUUGAUGAUACUAAUAAAGGGUGAUAAAGUUUAUAUCUACAAAGGUAAAUAUAAAUCUAUUUAUAAAUAGCAUGGAAUCGAUAUGCAAUUUGAGACUCGGUUGAUUACUAGAUUAUUCAACAGAAAAAAAGAAAACUACAUGUAUAGUGAAAUCAAUUCCUUCAAAUGGAACUAACACAGUCAAACAUGAUUGGUUUAUUGAGGAAAAAAAAAGAUGGAUGGUUAAUGAUAUCAAGGCAAGGGCAACAGUGACAUUUUGAUGCAUUGAUGUUGGAUUCAUAAAACCCUUCAAAUAUAUUGUAAGUUAAUAUGCCCGAUAGUCUAGAAGAUAGGAAGGGAGUGUUGAUAAGGACACACCGACGCGUUCCGGAGAAAAACUUUAGAAAGAAGAAUUGAACUUGACACGCGUCUAAUUUGGCGGCCAUUAGAAAAAAAAUGGGUGUCACGCUCAUAUCACGUGUCCAUACCCUAGCAUCAACUCCAUGACUUGUGGGGAUCACGGUGUCUUUUUAAACAUCAAACGGCUACGGUUGAGUCUUCUUCGGCUUGAACUCAGUUACAGCCGUAAAUCUACUUCUACGGUUGUUGAUAGUCAGCUGGUCAAAGUCUGAUACAUUCUGUAUCACGUGCGUCACGUGUGUUAGUGUAUUAAUAUGAUAUUUUCGUUUUUGUAUGUCGACGGCGGAAGAAGAUUCAUAUAAUUCAAUUUUAGUUGGUUAGAGAAUAUUGGAUUUAUAUGCAGACUUGGAGAUAUUUAGUGGAAUCAGAUCGGUUAGUUUCGGUUUAUGACAAGAAGAUGUGGUCCCUAAAUAAUUGGGUAAUGUGAUUUGCGUAAGAAGCAAACGUAUUAUGAGGAUUAUGUCAGCUAUGACUUUAAGUCUUUAACCACGUGGAAUUGUUGCGUUUGCCUUCACGCAACUAGCCUCCUUACACACGCAUCCUCGUUCCGGUUUUCUCUUAACCGAGAAAAUAACACGCUCGUGUAUAUUACUCUGGCUUAGUUUGAGUAAGCUUAUUCAUUAGCCCAUUACUCUAGCUCCUGGACUGGGCUGAAAACUAAGUAUUUUGGGUUUAUAAAACCCAAUGAUUUAUAUCACUCUUUUUAGUGUUUUUACAAAAACAAUUGGGAACCCAAAGAAUUUUGUCAAAUUCGUAAAACCCACUGAAGUACAGCAAAGUUUGAAGCAAAGAAAAUAUGUUUUUUAUACUAACAAAGCAUAAUCAUGAUUUAUACCUUUUAAUCCAGGGUGAUUUAGGUGAGUGAUCUAAUUUUGAACAAAAAUUUAGUAAAUGACUACGCUAACAACAAACUGGUGAAUAACAAAAAUUAAUAUCCUACACUUGUGCGAAAUCGUGUGUAUAUAUACUCGAAUGAUAUAAUAUCUUCAUACUCAUAACCGGAAAAAAAAGAAAGAGAAUUGAAGUAUAUAUUUUCUUUGAAGUUAGGGAGAACAAAACAUCUAGCUACCGCACAAAUAUGAAGUACCUGCAUAUCAUGUAAGUCAACACAUAAAAAUAUGAACAGCAAUAUCUUUUAGCCGACAAGAAUCUUACGGACCAAGUUUUUCUCAUGGUCCAACAAUUCAAAGUUCCCUUUGUUUUUCAUAUCUUGUUUCUUUCAUACUGUUUCAUAUAUAGUUCAUGACAUCUUUUUAAUAAAGAAGUUUUUGACAUUUUUGUGACAGAAUUGUUAUACGCAAAUUAAAUUUUUACAUAUAAUUUUAGACAGAAAGAAAUUGAAAUAUAUAGUUUAGACGGAUAUUUAAAACACCCCCAAAAUUAUGAAGGUAAUUAAUUUGAUACUCAAAAGUGAGAUAAUUUAGUUAUACAAGAAAAAAACGAGGUUGGUCGACGUAGCCGGACAUGGGACAGAAAGAUAAGCCUAAGCCAGGAGCGGCAAAAGCAGCCGUUUCCACCGUCAUGCGCUGCUGGAUGGUGGCGGCUCCGGCUUCCUCGAACUCUUUCACUAUAGUACGAUAAUACGCUUUGAUCUUCUUCACGAGCCUCACGUAGUACAGUCUCAGCCACUUGAGUCUCAUCCUCGUCACCACCUUCUUGAGCGAGAAACUACCACGUGGCGUACUGUUUUUCCCGCCGAGACGCACAACUUGUGGUUUACGACGACGGAGAUAGAUCUUUCGGCGACUCGACGGCCACCGGAAUGCGCUGGAGGCGGCAGUGAUGACUAAAUGGGGAUCCAUAGAAAUCCCGCGAGAGAAUUUUUUAGAAGGAAGAAAGUGAAAGAUGGUUUAAGGAGUUAGAUUGAUGAGAAACUUGUAUACUUAUAUAAAGAGGUAGUAAGAGCCAUGAAAUUUGUUAUGUGGUGACUUUAUGACUAAAUAUGACAUAUUACGUAAUUUCCGUGAAGUGAAUAAUGAAGAAGGCCAGUAAGUAGAUAAGCUUAGACAAAAGAGUAAGCCAUUGUAUGUCUUGCUGUAGAAGACGACACAAAAUUACGUAGCUCAAGGGACCCAUUUUGUCUAUAUAUUACAUAGAAAGUCCACUUUAGUUCGGUUUUUAUAAGUUGUAGUGAAAACCAUUCACCCGAAAAUGAUAUGUUUCUUGACUUCUGAAUAGUUUGUGUGUGCGUUAAUUAAUGGACGGCUUGUGUUUAUUUCAUUUAUUUAUUUCUGCUUUGAUGUUGACUAAUGCUAUAGUACUUUUUUGCUCUUAUAUACACAAAUUUUCUCUCAUCAAAUUUUGACAUUUUAAUUGACUGCAUAAUUCACCUUUUUGCUCUUAUAAACACAAAACGUUUAUGGUAAAAAACAAGGUUUUUCGCAUUUGAUAACCAUGACAUCAACGUGGCUUCACAGUCCGCAUUUAACUUAUAGUGAUCCAAAUAUAGCAUAUUGUCAAAUUGAAAUCAAACAAGAAUCUAAAAGUUUACAAAUGCCAAUCGGAUUUUCUGCUCAUUCACACCCCAUGCAUAGUGGUCUAACCCAAGAGUGAGGGCUCAUUAAUGAGUAUACAGAUCGGCCCAUUAACAACAUGGCCCUUUUAACAAACCCGACAGGACUUUUUUCUUUUUAAUGAAAACAUACAACCAGAGCCCAAUUUCAAUGAUCAAUCAGAAGGACUGAACUGAUCCCUGACCCCAUUGGACGGCCACCGGACUCUUAACAACGUGUUCACCGUCUGUCCAUUCGAUCGACCCGAAUUCAUGACCCGGCACGGAUCCGACUCCUCCGCCGAGCACAACGCUCUUAAAUGUGACUUCAUACUCCAACACGCUCUUCUCCUUGCUGAACGCAAGCUUGCUUGGAGAAACAUCAAUCUCAACAUUCGCCGGAGAUUUAACUCCGACUUCGUACACAGCGUCGACAUUGCUUCCCACGUUUUUGACAACCCUUUUGUAUUUCACAACUUCCCCGGUCGAUGCGAAAACCACGGAGAAAGAUGGGUAAUUGAGAUCGCCGGCGGUUCUUAGCUUGCUCGUUUCACAUGCGUCGUAAAGAGUUGGAUCUUGAAGAAAGACUAGAAUCCCCGGAAACUCGUAUCCCACGGCGCAGAGGAAAGCUACGUACUCUUUGACCUCGAUGUCGUAAACCAAACCAGGAUUCAAAGCUUUGUUUGGAUCGACGUGUCCAGCUCCGUGGAUGAAUGAGUUCGAUGAUUUACCGGUGGCGAGAUCCUCGAUUGGUUCGCCGGAGUUUUCGACAUCGUAAGCGGUGGUUACAAGGGCGGAUUUGAUUGCUGCAGGUGACCAAUCGGGAUGAGCUUUACGGAGGAGAGCGGCGAGUCCACUAACGUGUGGGCACGACAUCGAUGUACCGGAGAUGAUGUUGAAUUGAACCCGUCUUGGAUCGAUAUCUAAAUCGGUAGGACCAACCAUCCCGGUCCAACCGGCUAAAAUGUUGACUCCAGGAGCAAUCACGUCCGGUUUAAGAAUAACCGGUGUCAAGUGAUUCGGUCCACGGCUGGAGAAAGCGGCGACUCUGGGAGAAGGAGGAGAUGGUCCGAUCAAAGUGCCUAGGAAACUGAUUUUUGCAGUGGGAGAGUCUGAUGUUUUGAUGUAGUCGCGGAUUUGAUCUCCAGCUUUAGCUCCAACCAUUGUCGCCGGGACGAGAUGCGAAUCGGCGGUUAAUUCUUCACCGCUUUCAGCUGUGUUCGCCAGAAUCAUACCAGCACCACCGGCUAGCUUGACUGCACUUCCUUUCUCAACUCUUGCGUUGCCUCCUCUGUCACAGAGCACGAUUUUGCCUUCAACCAAUGAUGAAUUCAAUUUCCCAGGGUAACACAAUCUGCUUCCGCAAUCGCCGGAAUAUACCAGAGAAAGUUGAGAAUCCGGUAGAGAUUCGCCUGCGUACAGUGAUGUUCCCGUGAAGACUUUCCCGUCUCCCGUGAUUGCGUUUGCGGCGAAUUCUCUAUCGACGGUGGACGCACCAACGGUUAAGAUCCAUGGAGCGAUGUUCGUCGCGGUUUCAGGAUUAGGACCAGAAUUCCCAGCGGAGCAAGAAACGACGAUGCCGUGCCGCGUGGCUCCAAAUGCUCCGAUCGCUAUAGAGUCCGUGUGAUACUCCGGGGCGGAACCGCUGGCUCCGACGGAGAGAGAGAUAACGUGAACACCGUCGGCAACCGCCUGAUCCAUGGCGGCGAGGAUAUCGGAAUCGUAACAUCCGCCGGUCCAACAGAUUUUGUAAGCGGCGAUUCUCGCCUUUGACGCCAUCCCAGUAGCUGUUCCGCGCGCGUACUGGUACAAACUCGCGUUAGCAACCACCGAUCCAGCUGCCGUAGAUGCCGUGUGCGUGCCAUGACCUUCUGUAUCACGCGGCGAUCUCGAUUCCUUGGCUGCAUGCUUUUUUGUUCCAUUCCGUUGCGUUAAAUAUCCCCUGUAAAACGCUCGAGCUCCGAUAAGCUUCCGAUUGCAAGAUGAGGCAGGAAAAUCAGGUCCGAUCUCGCACUCGCCUUUCCAGGUAGAUGGAAUUGGACCGAGACCUGAAUCCGAGAAACUUGGAUGUUCCGGCCAGAUUCCAGUAUCUAAAACGCCGACGAUCACGUCUUCCCCGUAAUUUGAGUUGCUCCAGAGUCCAGAGUUUUGGGAGAAACCGAGGAAGGCAGGCGUGUGAGUUGUGUGGAUCUCACGCGCUUGAUCAGGUAUAACGGAGAUGACUGAAGGAUGACGGCGGAGGGCGGCGGUUUGGAUAGGGGAGAGACGAGCGGAGAAGCCAUGAACGGCGCGUGAAUAAGAGUAGAGCAGCGUUGCUGGUUGGGGAGAAGAAGGGAGAGAGCGAAGGAGAGAGACGUGCCAGUUGUUGUGGGAGG
RNAcentral lists this long non-coding RNA (11292 nucleotides) under Arabidopsis thaliana (thale cress). RNAcentral describes it as "long non-coding RNA (ATHA_LNC000084)". Lineage: Eukaryota; Viridiplantae; Streptophyta; Magnoliopsida; Brassicales; Brassicaceae. The record is from RNAcentral.